Cephus cinctus (wheat stem sawfly) is the source of this 5068-nucleotide RNA transcript. It is a transcript of the gene named transcription factor Sox-2, with no coding region annotated. The transcript is spliced from 4 exons. NCBI's taxonomy places the organism in Eukaryota, Metazoa, Arthropoda, Insecta, Hymenoptera, Cephidae. The record is from RefSeq and is a predicted model, not a curated record.
GCAGGAAGUGAGCCGAACCCAAGAGUAGGACCCCAAGGCGAAACCUACAAAUGCUCAGACGGUUCCGUUCUUCCGAGGAGAGUGGAGGUCGCUUCAUCGGCACUCGCUUUUAAAACGUGCGUGCGACACGACGGGUCGUACCUGGUGGUGAUAUACACAGUAACCGAUAAAUAGCUAUCGCGAGAGCCACGCGCGCAUCUACGGUUAACGAGAAUCGCGAUAAAUCGUAUGCAGAUACAGUGCGGAUUAAAUCGGUGAUUUUGGUUGGUCGGACAAAAAUCGAGUAAAGAAAAUCGAUAAAGAAAAAAAAAUAAAGAGGAGAAUCGAUAUAUAUUACAGCUACGUUCACGGUGGUCAGUGUGAAAAUCGUUUGUUCCUCGUACCGAUCGUGACAAUCGUACGGACUGGCAAUUCGAUACCGGAGGAUCGCUGCAUCUUGGUACGCGCUGGCGACAACGGGAAGUGACGAUGACGAUAUACAGAGUGUUCUCGUUGACGCGCUGUGACUCUUUGACAAGUGUGUAACGAUUGUAUUUGAACGUUCAAGUUGUGAGAGGCCGAGAGGCUGCGAUUGAGAUUCUACCGUACAGAGACAUUGUUCUAGAUUGUAUCGACACGUGAAAAGGUGGCCGAUUCUGUGAAUACAACUUGGUACGAAUCUGUCGCUGUUUAUACUGGCCCAGAGUGAUCAGGGUGUUCUGUGUUUUGGUACUGUCUCGUGUAACUUGGACUCGAGUUAAUUUGUACGUGGGAUACACGGGGGAGGAACCGUUGAGGAUUUAGCGUGACCUAUCGUUGCCCAUGGCACACGAGGCGGGUAUGUUCGUAUGAAGUGUUUGGACAUGGUGGAGUUUUGAGACUGAGCUCGAGCGUCGUCGAUAAGGGACGACAAGGGGGAUUCGUUGGUGAGGUCAAAGGUGAAUCCUGUUUAAGGAUUGCGACGUGAGCCGCGCAGUAAUAAAGUGAGGAUCAACCGUGGAGACGAGGAGGUGAGCCCAUGUUCGGUGUUCGGCGUAAGAGUUCCGCGUAGCAACCGCGGUGCCGUCGUGGACAGUCAGGGCGGAGGUGCGAGGGCUGUGACCUUCGGGUCAAAGGUCGGAUCGAUCGGGAUCGCGGAUCGGUACUUCUUGACGUCGAGCGUUAUAGAAAAAGGCGGCAAGCUGUACGGGCACAGGGAGGAAGACAUGCUCACGAUGGAGACGGACCUGAAGGGCGGGAGUCUGCACGGGCAGAUGCCACCGCAUCCUCAUCAGGGUGUCUCGCCCAUGGGACAUCAUACGGGAGUAUCGCCGUACGGUGCGCUGGGCUCGAUAGUACACAGUCCGGCCCUGUCCGGCAGUCCACCCAGUGCCGGCGGUUUGGCUGGUCUGGGUCUUCAGCAUCAUCAUCAGACGCCCCAGCAUCACUACGCCUCGAUGCAGGCCCAGCAGCAGGCCCAGGCCCAACAGCAAGCUCAGCAGCAACAGACGAUGCACUCGCUGGCCGCCCAGCAGAGCGCCGCCCAGCAGCAAGCUCAGGCCCACCAUCCUCACCAGCAGCCGCAGCAGCAUCAGCCGCCGAACAACAACAACAACACCAGCAAGAACAACAACAUCGACCGCGUGAAACGGCCCAUGAACGCGUUCAUGGUCUGGUCGCGGGGUCAGCGACGGAAGAUGGCCCAGGAGAAUCCAAAGAUGCACAACUCCGAGAUCUCGAAGAGGCUCGGGGCCGAGUGGAAGCUUCUCAGUGAGACGGAGAAGCGGCCGUUCAUCGACGAGGCCAAGAGAUUAAGGGCGGUUCACAUGAAGGAACAUCCCGACUACAAGUACAGACCGCGCCGGAAGACCAAGACUCUUCUCAAGAAGGACAAGUUCCCGCUUGGCGGUGGCGUCGCGGGCGUCGGCGGUAUGCUCGGCGUCGAUCAGAGACAAGUCGGCGGCAGUGGACCUGGUCAGCAACCUCAGCUGCCCCGAGACGUUUACCAGAUGCCUAACGGCUACAUGCCCAACGGCUACAUGGUCCACGACCCGACCGCCGCCGCAUACCAGCAGCAUGCCUACGGCGGGCACAUGGGUGCCGCCGCCGGGUAUCCCAGGUACGACAUGGGUCACCACAUGGGCGGCGGAAGUCCCAGUCCCAUAAACAGCUACAUGAACGGCUACGGCGGAUACGGGACCACGACGGUACCUGGUGGCUCACCCUCGCCGUAUCACCAAGCUCAGCCGGGCUCCCAGAUGUCCAGUCACAGCCCCAGUGGCAGCAGCAUAAAGUCCGAGCCCACGAGUCCUGCGAGCGCAGGGAUACACACCCCGACGCCGACGGGACCAUCUUCCACGGGUGCGCCGGGCGGGGUCAAGAGGGAGUACAUGAGCCAGCAGCAGGGUCAGCAGCAGCAGGGCGAUCUGCGGCAGAUGAUCUCCAUGUACCUGCCCCAGGGUGGCGAACAGGGGGUCGUACAACAUGGCGGAGGAGUCUACUCCCCAGGACCUUCCCCGGAUCCCUUGGCUCAGCAUCACUCGGCCAUCCCACCCCUCACUCACAUGUCGGAAAGCGAGCGUAAAAUGUUGAAUCCAGAGACUGGCUGCUACUCGGAAUCCGUACGAGCAUGGGAUUGGAACGCGACGGGCAACGUGCGCGUUCAAGAGUCCUGGCCGACGUGAGCGCCUUUCGCUACGGCCGAGUCGAACCUCCUCUUCAGCGACGAAGGAUCAGGCACCUUGAUCGUUUCGCGCAUCAUGGUACCACUACCCGGAGGCGGCUUGCAGACUACCCCCAAGAAAUUAUUCCUCGAAGUCACCCCUCGCAUGAGCACCGCUGUCCGAUCUCGGUAUCACGUCGUUCUCGACUCCAACCCUUUCUGUAAAUACGUCAUAUGCGUCUGGAGCUCACACGGAACAUCCUCAUGCCUCUCACGUACUGCCACUAAAUUACGAAUCGUCGUCCUCAUCGUCGUCGUCCUCGUCGCCGACUUUCACGUUGUCGUCGUCGACCCUAUAGCGUUCGACUUAGCAUAUUCCUCUGAAGUCAAAAUUACGGCACGCGAUUCUAUCGAGAUAUUCACCCGCUGUCAGAGUUAUGCUCGGGGAAGAUCCUGUUAACGGGAUUACCAAUGGUCUCUAGACUCCAUGAUGGGUCCAGUAGUGUGGCAAAAAAUGAGAUAGAUAAAAGAAAGAAAAAAAAAAUGAAUUUUGAAAAAAAAAUUUAUCACCUGUGCCGUACACGUACGAGAUGAACUUUGUAUAUAUUUCAAUAUACAAUUAUAUAUACAUAUUAUAUAUAGUAUAAAUAAUGUAGAGAAUGUUGGACGAUAAGGAUUAUUCUGAUUAUCAUAAUCGUGGAAGUUUAUCGGUCUUCGAUAAUUAUAGAUUCUUAUUAUUAUUAUUAUUAUUAUUAUUGUACAAUUAAGAAAUCCGUUGAUCACUCCUCUAGCGUUUACGAUACGUUUUUGUAGUGCUGUGCGCGCGAAUGACGCGAAUGAAUUGCGAGGCGGCAUGUCUGGCGGUCACGUGAAAAAAAAAAAACGCACAUGUUCUUUUUUAUUUUUCUAAUCUUUUAUCUCUACCAGUUAUACGCACGCUUCCGAAAUGAUUGAUGAACGGGGCAACGAGGCGGGAAAAUAUCGGAUUUGUUUGUACCGGUCAGGUAUCUUGGAAGGAUUGCGAUAAAUGUGGGAAGGACGGAAAAAAAGGGAGAUGUAAAAGAAAAAUAAAUAAAGGACCUCCGUGAAUGUAAACCUGGUGCUUCUGCAAGCGCACCUGACUCGUUCCGUCGAGUGCGUUAUCCUUGCGCCUGAGCCGUUGUGCCGCAUCCCUGAGAAAACCAGUAUGGGCCCAUCUCGUUACUUAUUCCAGGAGUGCGUGCACGUACAGGGUGAAAAGUGUGCGUGGAUGGCAGAAGGAUGCGUGAGUUUGGUCGUAAGCGCGUACAAUGCUUCGGUAAGAUAGCGUGUGGCGCAGCGUGAAACUCAUUCAUGAACACCCACGCGUAGGACCGACCGACUACGGGACUGACUUCUAUUAGUCCCGUCGGGACGCAGUCGGGAGACUAAAUGACGAAAAUGAUUAUUCCGAUGUUAAAUUUCGACAAGGGGUAUACGGGAGUAACGUGUCUUUUCUAGAUAAUUGAAUCUUAACAUUAAAACCAUAAUGCAAGAAAUGGUUAUGGGAGGCGUGAAUAUUUUUGUCCCACCUGAGUUUACUCGCGAAAUCCUGUAGAGGCGCUGCUCUACGCGUCUCCUUAGUCUAUGGGGGUUUGACGAUUUUGAAUGACUUUGAGAACUGUCAGGUUUAACUUGACGAUAAUACGAUACGGUGUAUAGAUGCUGGAGCGGAUAAAGAGAAGUGUGGAAGGUAAGAAGGAAAAAGGUAUCAAAAUGGCACGCCCACGUGUGAUCUUGAGUAUAAAUAAAAGCAUAUUAUUUCUCGGACUCUCCAGGGGCGAGCAACUGCAUAAAACGUGGAGCUCGAGUUAGCGGCUCUCUGGUAGUCGGCGAAGCUUAGGCGUGAACGCUCCAUAAAUAACUAAUUGUUGCGGCUGAAUUGCGUUCAUAAAGCGACCGAUAUCGUGGACCUCCCGAGCACUGGGAGUUCGAAGAUAUAAAUAACAAGAACAGGUCUCUGGCACUUAGGACCGUAAUGUUGGUACCUACAGCACGUCUUAUUAUAUCACGUGAAAUCCGAUAAAUUUUGAAAAAAAAAAUCUAUAAUUUCCAAAAUAUAUUAACGACGUAACUUUUUAUAGAAAUUGAAAAAAUUUGAAAAAAAAAUUACGAUGGCGUUCGUCGUCAUACAACUCGCGUUACUCCUACAGCCACACGCAAUAAAUAUUCCAACGACGUUAAUAAUUGAAAAUUCAGCCAAAAAAAGGAGAACCGACAGCAAGGCGUUACCGUAAGUUUCGCGAAUAUGACAAGGCCCGGCACUCGUCUAGGGUAAAUAAUUUAAAGGAAGCGGCGCGUACCUGAAGAACCGUGACCGUCGGCCAUGCGUGCGCGCAUGCGUGGCUGCGUGGAUGCGUGAUGAACGUGUAUGUAGGUGCGUCAGGUGAAUAAAUUGUCCGAAGAAUAAACGGUGGAUGUAGUUAAUAA